This 253-nucleotide ribosomal RNA is filed under the name uncultured bacterium. RNAcentral describes it as "partial 16S ribosomal RNA". It matches the Rfam family "Bacterial small subunit ribosomal RNA", at positions 524 to 776 of the family's 1533-position model. The record is from RNAcentral.
GACAUAGGUGGCGAACGUUAUCCGGAAUUAUUGGGCGUGAAGCGCGUGUAGGCGGCUUUGCAAGUCGGGUGUGAAAGCCCUCAGCUCAACUGAGGAAGUGCGCCCGAAACUGCAGAGCUUGAGUGCCGGAGAGGGUGGCGGAAUUCCCCAAGUAGAGGUGAAAUUCGUAGAUAUGGGGAGGAACACCGGUGGCGAAGGCGGCCACCUGGACGGUUACUGACGCUGAGACGCGAAAGCGUGGGGAGCAAACAGG